This 73-nucleotide transfer RNA is filed under the name Canis lupus familiaris (dog). It matches the Rfam family "tRNA". Rfam says of the family: Transfer RNA (tRNA) molecules are approximately 80 nucleotides in length. Their secondary structure includes four short double-helical elements and three loops (D, anti-codon, and T loops). The record is from Rfam by way of RNAcentral. RNAcentral also lists the same sequence under 1 other name. Lineage: Eukaryota; Metazoa; Chordata; Mammalia; Carnivora; Canidae.
GCCAAGCUGGCUUUGUUGGUAAAGCAUGUGACCAUUGAUCUCAGGGUUGUAAGUUCAAGCCCCACGUUUGGUG